GGAUGUGCUCCCGCCCAACCACCUCGCCGGCGCCGAUGCCAGGAGAGGAUAAGGACCCCCCUCAGCCCCCUCGAUCCCCUCCCCACUUUCCUGCCGCACCCACUCCCCUCUUCCUCAUCGCUCUCCCCACUCCUCCAGAUCCCCUUCUCCCUCGCCCGACGCUGCUGUCGACGUGCGUCGCUCGAUCCCGCGGCCAUCGGCACCUCCGAGCGUCGAGGCUUCGUCUACGAGGUGCGCUGCCAUCUGCUUCAUCCUCCUCGACCAAUGGAUGAACCCUGGGCCGUCUACAUCGCCAUCAUCGACCCCAUCCCCAACCACCGGUCAUUGCCCGGCCUCAUCGGAUCUCCUUGCCGGAGACUACCCGACCUCGGCAAGCUCGUCCACGGCCUCCCCAGGAUGGUGGAUCCCUGGAGCCAGAUGCCAUCGCUGACUGAUACUGCUACAUGGAUGCUGCCGAAGACCAGGAGUAGUUAGGAUGUCCCAGGCAGGAGGCCUUGCCUCUUCGAUCGUGUUGCUUUUGUGCUAGCCUUCUUAAGGCAUCUUUGUUUAACUUAUGUCUGUCCUUAGAUAUUGUUGCUUCCGCAGACUCUUGUGUAUUGAGCUAUGUAUUCGAGCCUUCGAGGCCCCUGGCUUGUAA
This is a long non-coding RNA of Triticum aestivum (bread wheat), 637 nucleotides long. RefSeq lists it as uncharacterized. The record is from RefSeq and is a predicted model, not a curated record. The transcript has 2 exons. Lineage: Eukaryota; Viridiplantae; Streptophyta; Magnoliopsida; Poales; Poaceae.